CCUACGGGUGGCAGCAGUGGGGAAUAUUGGGCAAUGGGCGCAAGCCUGACCCAGCAACGCCGCGUGAAGGAAGAAGGCUUUCGGGUUGUAAACCUCUUUUGUCGGGGAGCAAAAGCCGGACGUGUCCGGCUGUGAGAGUACCCGAAGAAAAAGCAUCGGCUAACUCCGUGCCAGCAGCCGCGGUAAUACGGAGGAUGCGAGCGUUAUCCGGAUUUAUUGGGUUUAAAGGGUGCGCAGGCGGAUUUUUAAGUCAGCGGUCAAAUCGUGGGGCUCAACCCCAUCCAGCCGUUGAAACUGGGGAUCUAGAGUGUGCGAGAGGUAUGCGGAAUGCGUGGUGUAGCGGUGAAAUGCAUAGAUAUCACGCAGAACCCCGAUUGCGAAGGCAGCAUACCGGUGCACAACUGACGCUCAGGCACGAAAGCGUGGGUAUCGAACAGGAUUAGAUACCCUGGUAGUC
Molecule: ribosomal RNA, 457 nt
Filed under: uncultured bacterium
Lineage: Bacteria
Description: partial 16S ribosomal RNA
Rfam family: Bacterial small subunit ribosomal RNA
Source: RNAcentral